AGUAAUAUGCCUGAUAAAAGGAAUAUUUUGAUGAAAUACUUAUGUAAAAUCUUUACUAUUACUA
Molecule: transfer RNA, 64 nt
Filed under: Andrena semilaevis
Lineage: Eukaryota; Metazoa; Arthropoda; Insecta; Hymenoptera; Andrenidae
Description: tRNA-Ile
Source: RNAcentral